Molecule: small nuclear RNA, 21 nt
Filed under: Arabidopsis thaliana (thale cress)
Lineage: Eukaryota; Viridiplantae; Streptophyta; Magnoliopsida; Brassicales; Brassicaceae
Description: snRNA_10789
Source: RNAcentral
UCAAAAACAAAUAUUAAAAUC